Molecule: ribosomal RNA, 1011 nt
Filed under: Tubulicrinis chaetophorus
Lineage: Eukaryota; Fungi; Basidiomycota; Agaricomycetes; Hymenochaetales; Tubulicrinaceae
Description: partial small subunit ribosomal RNA
Rfam family: Bacterial small subunit ribosomal RNA
Source: RNAcentral
AUGUUCGAUUAGGUAGUUGGCAGGGUAGAAGCCUCCCAAGCCUACGAUCGAUAGUCAUGUUUGACAGAGCAAAUGACCACAUUGGGAAUGAAAUAUCCCAAGUAGCGUAACGCUACCAGCAGUCAAGAAUAUUAGUCAAUGCUCGCAAGAGUGAACUAGCUAACUGAAAUCAACGGUGUGUCAUCGUUGAUAACGUAAGGGAAAAUAAUGAUAUUACCUUACUAUUAGUGUCGUCCAAGUACUCGUGCCAGAAGACUCGGUAAGGCGAGAGACGCAAACGUUAGUCGUCUUAAUCAGGCGUAAAGGGUUUGUAGGCGGCUUUAAGAAUCAAAUAAUUUCUAAUAAAAUUAUUUAAGGGAUUUAUUAAAAUUUACUAUAAUUAAGUUUUAAUUUAAUAUGCGCUGCGCAUACCUAACCCUAAAGGGAGGAGCGCGGCGCUAGCGCAGCCCNNNNNNNNNNCCUGUGCUAUAAAUUUUAUUUUAUAAAUGACUAUAUCGUGCACCUCUGCCUGAUGGUGGAGGUGUGCGCAGCCAUUAAUACAAUAUAUAAAUUUUUAAAUUUAAGAUUAUUAGAAAGAUCAUUUAAAGCUAGAAUCAAGAAGAGGUUAUAUUAAAUAAUACUUAGAGUAGGAUUGAAAUCUUUAAACACUAAGUGGAAUACUAAUGGCGAAGGCUUUUUUCCAAUAAUGAUUGACGCUGAGAAACUAAGGUGAGGAUAGAAAAAAGGAUUAGAGACCCUAGUAUCCCUCUCUGUCAACGAUGAAUGGUAGUUACUAGCAGAUAGCUAGAAGCGAUGUUAACACGUAAACCAUUCCGCCUUGUGAGUACGACUGCAAAGUUGAAAACAAAAAAAUUAGUCGGUCUCGGAGCAAACGAGGUGAAGCAUGUUAUUUAAUACGAUACUCCGCGUAAAAUCUUACCAGUUCUUGCAUAAAAACUUUUAUUUUUCUACUAUUAGAUCGAAUUUUAGGAUUUAAGGGUUAUAAACCUCACUAGAUUCUAGAUUUUAUCU